This 247-nucleotide unclassified non-coding RNA is filed under the name uncultured fungus. Its description in RNAcentral is "sequence contains ITS2". The stretch from base 1 to 52 matches the Rfam family "5.8S ribosomal RNA", at positions 103 to 154 of the family's 154-position model. Lineage: Eukaryota; Fungi. The record is from RNAcentral.
AACGCAUAUUGCGCCCGCUAGUACUCUAGCGGGCAUGCCUGUUCGAGCGUCAUUUCAACCUCAAGCAGAGCUUGGUGUUGGGGCCUUACAGCUGCUGUAAGCCCUAAAAGACAUUGGCGGGCUCGCUAUAACUCCGAGCGUAGUAGUAUCUCUCGCUCAGGAUGUCUUGGCGGGCUCGGGCCGUUAAACCCCCCUAAUAUCGAAAACGGUUGACCUCGAAUCAGGUAGGAAUACCCGCUGAACUUAA